Molecule: non-coding RNA, 484 nt
Organism: Cinara cedri
Lineage: Eukaryota; Metazoa; Arthropoda; Insecta; Hemiptera; Aphididae
Source: the annotation of a GenBank genome assembly
UCGAAAAUUAAUGAAAAGAAAAGAUGUUUGUACCUGUAAUAUUUAUUUAUUUUUGUCGGCACUCGAUAAAUAGCGUUUAAAAUAUAUAGUUUACAAAUUUGAACUUAGGGGUUUUUCAUUUUAAAUUUCGUCGUAUGCUCGUAUACAGAGUGUGAUUGAUUUAUCACGAACUGGCAAUUUUAAGUGACCGCGGAAUUUUUAACUGUAUAUGGAAUUAUUUUAGAUUAAUUUUAUUCGCACACUAUUUUCGAUUUUUCAGCCUACUCCUUAUACCUUAAAUUAGUAUACACUUUUAGUUUUCAAGUAUGAACUACCCUACCCUCUUUUAAACACAGUUUCGAAAACAAAAUAUUUGUAUAACACUAAUGUCGGGUUUACAGUUUAUGAGUUAAUACAACAGUUCAAAGUUUAGACCGGAGGAGAAAGGAAUUUGUUUUCAAUACAUCGUCUGAAUAUUGAUGUGAAGUUUAUUAGCUCUACCUUA